Molecule: ribosomal RNA, 876 nt
Filed under: uncultured bacterium
Lineage: Bacteria
Description: bacterial SSU rRNA
Rfam family: Bacterial small subunit ribosomal RNA
Source: RNAcentral
GGUGCGUAGGCGGCCUUUUAAGUCAGUGGUGAAAUCCUGCCGCUUAACGGUAGAAUUGCCAUUGAUACUGAAAGGCUUGAGUACAGUUGAGGUAAGCGGAAUGUGUAGUGUAGCGGUGAAAUGCUUAGAUAUUACACAGAACACCAAUUGCGAAGGCAGCUUACUAAGCUGGUAACUGACGCUGAUGCACGAAAGCGUGGGGAGCGAACAGGAUUAGAUACCCUGGUAGUCCACGCCGUAAACGAUGUUCACUCGCUGUUUGCGAUACACAGCAAGCGGCCAAGCGAAAGCAUUAAGUGAACCACCUGGGGAGUACGAUCGCAAGGUUGAAACUCAAAGGAAUUGACGGGGGCCCGCACAAGCGGAGGAACAUGUGGUUUAAUUCGAUGAUACGCGAGGAACCUUACCUGGGCUUAAAUGUAGAACGACAGGCUGUGAAAGCGGCUCUUCUUCGGACGUUUUACAAGGUGCUGCAUGGUUGUCGUCAGCUCGUGCCGUGAGGUGUCGGGUUAAGUCCCAUAACGAGCGCAACCCUUAUCGUUAGUUGCCAGCGGGUCAAGCCGGGGACUCUAGCGAGACUGCCACCGUAAGGUGUGAGGAAGGUGGGGAUGACGUCAAAUCAGCACGGCCCUUAUGUCCAGGGCUACACACGUGUUACAAUGGCCGAUACAAAGGGCAGCUACUUCGCGAGAAGAUGCUAAUCUCUAAAGUCGGUCUCAAUUCGGAUCGAAGUCUGCAACCCGACUUCGUGAAGCUGGAUUCGCUAGUAAUCGCAUAUCAGCCAUGAUGCGGUGAAUACGUUCCCGGGCCUUGUACACACCGCCCGUCAAACAAUGGAAGCUGGGGGUACCUGAAGUCUGUAACCGCUAAGGAGCG